CUCCUUGGAAUACAUGAAAAUGAAGCAAAUGACAAGAAAAUCUUCUUACCUGGUAGAUAUCAGAAAGACUGCUGCUUCCAGAAUCACUAGUGAUACUACAUCCUGAAUGGCUAGAAGAAACGUGGGUCACCUGUGGGUGGAGACUGCCAGUACGGUGUAGUUUUGUGAAAUCUACAAGAAGCUAUGGAAGGAGCAGGAAAAACUAGGACUACAACUUGAAUCAGAUCUCCAAGAAGACAUUUUAAAAUUAAGAUAUUAUAUUCUAUUCCAUACCACUAAGCCAAAAAUGUUAUUAGAAUAAGCCUCCUGAGGGAGAUGAUUCAGGUUUAUGACAAUGAUCAAUGGGUUUUGAAACCUCAAAGCUUCAAACAAACAGGACUUUCUUGUUAGAAUCCAUCAUCUGAUCAUCUUUGCUGACUAAGAAUUCACUGUGUGGACAACACUGGGAGCUGACAGAGCUUCAAACCUAAUAGAAGGGACCUGCAUCCAGCCUUUAUACACCAAUUCUAGGGAACUGAGAAAGUUAUGGACAACAUUUACUGAUCUCUACACACAUAUAUAAAUAUCAGUUUUCUACUUGUUCAUGUAUAAAUAAAACUAUCCUUCUAUUAAAUAAACAGAUUUG
This is a long non-coding RNA of Lemur catta (Ring-tailed lemur), 625 nucleotides long. RefSeq lists it as uncharacterized. The record is from RefSeq and is a predicted model, not a curated record. The transcript has 3 exons. NCBI's taxonomy places the organism in Eukaryota, Metazoa, Chordata, Mammalia, Primates, Lemuridae.